This 495-nucleotide ribosomal RNA is filed under the name uncultured bacterium. RNAcentral's name for it is "partial 16S ribosomal RNA". It matches the Rfam family "Bacterial small subunit ribosomal RNA", at positions 28 to 523 of the family's 1533-position model. The record is from RNAcentral.
GACGAACGCUGGCGGCGUGCUUAACACAUGCAAGUCGAGCGGAAAGGCCCACUUGUGGGUACUCGAGCGGCGAACGGGUGAGUAACACGUGAGUAAUCUGCCCUUCACUCUGGGAUAACGUUCAGAAAUGGGUGCUAAUACCGGAUGUACACAUGGUCUCGCAUGGGGUUGUGUGGAAAGAUUUUUUGGUGGGGGAUGUGCUCGCGGCCUAUCAGCUUGACGGUGGGGUAAUGGCCUACCGUGGCUUUGACGGGUAGCCGGCCUGAGAGGGUGACCGGCCACACUGGGACUGAGACACGGCCCAGACUCCUACGGGAGGCAGCAGUGGGGAAUAUUGGACAAUGGGCGGAAGCCUGAUCCAGCAACGCCGCGUGAGGGAUGACGGCCUUCGGGUUGUAAACCUCUUUCACCAUUGACGAAGCUGCAUCUUUUUGGGUGUGGUGACGGUAGGUGGGGAAGAAGCACCGGCCAACUACGUGCCAGCCGCCGCCGUAA